This is a long non-coding RNA of Zonotrichia albicollis (white-throated sparrow), 1775 nucleotides long. NCBI's taxonomy places the organism in Eukaryota, Metazoa, Chordata, Aves, Passeriformes, Passerellidae. The record is from Ensembl.
CCCAACUUAGCUCUCACUGCUCUCUAACUAGACCAUGGGAAGGCAAAGAAAUUCAGUCCGGCGCCUCUCCGGAGCAGGAUAGCGAGGGGAGCGGGCAGAUGCGGCCGCCAGGAGCUCAGCAUCCCCGGAGCUCUGCCUGCCCCCGCAGACCCCUGCACAACCCCUCUCCCCCUUCCCUGGGCUGCCAGGGCGGACGGGAGCUGGCAGGAAAAGCUGCCACAGUGCGCUAGAUGGGAUUCCUCUCGGGGAAGAGGAGGGACGGGAAAAGGAGAAACCCGCGCGCACUUUCCCUUCCAAUGAUCCCAAUCUCGCCGCGCACUGGAAAAGCCUCUUCUCCCCCCAGACCCCGCCAGGCAAGACCGGGUACGGUAAUUUGGGCUCUCCGCAGGGCACUGGGGAAGCACUCUGCGGGCGGCCCCGCUCAGCCCCCGCGCUUCCCUGCGCUGCCCCGGAGGCUGCGGGAGCCGCGGUGCCCCCGCCUCCGCUCCGCGCUCCGGAGGAUGGAUGUUCCGGGGAUGGAUGCUCCGGGGAUGGAUGCGCCGGGGGAUGCGGCGGAGCGGGCGUUUGGCGCAUCGCUGCCCGGAGGGGAUGGGAUGGGACAGGGUGGGCUGGGCUGGGGGUCACUCACCUCGCUGCAAGGUGACCCGCGGCGCGGUGCUCCCGCAGGGGCGGCUCAGCGCCCCGGCGCUCCGCCCGGCAGCAUCCCCGCGGCGGGGGCGGCGGCGGGCACCGGGCCCGGGGGAUGCACAGCGCCCGCCGAGAAGGGGCUGCGCCGCCUGCACCGCCUCGGCGGCACUGUGCGCUCGGCAGGAGGAGGAGAAAAAGGAGGAGGGACGGAGGGAGAGGGAGAGAGAGGCAGGCGGAGGGAGAGAGGCAGGAGGAGAAGGAGCCCUGCGCGGCAGCGCGGCCAACUUUCCUUCUGCAGCGCAGCAGGAACAGCCUCCCGUCCCUCGGUGUGUAACCCCCGCCCCGGCCCCCCUCAGGACCGGUUACGUAAGACUGAAUGUGUUUGUUUGCUGCCUGCAAGCCCCUCGUGUGCUGGUAACACCUCAAGAGCCUGCAUUCAGAACUGGAGCUGCAGCCCUGCUUGGCUCACACUGCCGGCUCUGCCCUGCACCACCAGGGCUCGUGGGGGGACAGCAGUGUCACUGUCCCCAGCAGAGACACCGUGGUGAGCAGUGUGUGAGAGUCUGUCCGGAUUUUCCCUUAUCUGCCUCACGAUUGUCAUUGGGCGACCACUGAAGAGAAGACCCCCCCGUCUAGAAUCUCUGGCUCUGAAGGAGAAAGUCACAUGCCAAAGGCCCUGAGACCUGAAAGAACAGUGUUAAGCUAUUGUUUUUACAGGUGUGUUUGCUGUGUGCUAAGGGGGCACCGUGCCCUUUUUGCAACAAUAGCCUUGGAAGCUGUCCCACCUCUCGGCCUGGCUGGAGUCCUGAGUUUCAAGUGGUCUCCCACAGAAGACCCUCACCUGUUUCACACCCACCGUGACAGACAGACUGAGAUGUAAGGAGCCUCUCCAUCAAGGACUGAGACAUGAAACUCCCAUGUGAAAAGGCCCCUCUGCUCCUUCCAAGGACUGGGACUGAAACCCCCAGCCCGGGGCAGGUGUGUGGGGGAGGCAAGCUGACCAAAGAGAGAUGUUUGCCUGCAGGUUGUGACCGCUGGACCAAGAAGACAAUGGCUCUCAUUUACUGCGGAGAAUAUGACCCCCCCCCCAUAAUUUUCAAUAGAGUUAUCAUAAUAAAAACCUCUGAGUUAGCUAGAGAUUUUGAGAU